Molecule: small nucleolar RNA, 147 nt
Organism: Andrographis paniculata
Lineage: Eukaryota; Viridiplantae; Streptophyta; Magnoliopsida; Lamiales; Acanthaceae
Product: small nucleolar RNA snoR135
Exons: 1
Source: RefSeq, a predicted model, not a curated record
AAAGCAGAGAUCGUGUGUAUCGAAUUUGUGUGAUUACAGUCAAAAUGCACUCUGCUCGAAAGAGUUCUCUGCGAUAUUAAAGGAAAGAUGGGCAGUUGUAUUUCAAAUUUCCAUUGAAGUUGUUUAGCAAUCAUCUUCCUUACAUGU